ACUCCUACGGGAGGCAGCAGUGGGGAAUAUUGGACAAUGGGCGCAAGCCUGAUCCAGCAAUGCCGCGUGUGUGAAGAAGGCCUGCGGGUUGUAAAGCACUUUCAGUAGUGAGGAAAAGCAGCUGGCUAAUAUCUGGCUGUAUUGACAUUAGCUACAGAAGAAGCACCGGCUAACUCCGUGCCAGCAGCCGCGGUAAUACGGAGGGUGCAAGCGUUAAUCGGAAUUACUGGGCGUAAAGCGUGCGUAGGCGGCUUAGUAAGUCGGUUGUGAAAGCCCCGGGCUUAACCUGGGAAUUGCAUCCGAUACUGCUAAGCUAGAGUGUGGCAGAGGAUAGUGGAAUUUCCGGUGUAGCGGUGAAAUGCGUAGAUAUCGGAAGGAACACCAGUGGCGAAGGCGACUGUCUGGGCCAACACUGACGCUGAGGUACGAAAGCGUGGGUAGCAAACAGGAUUAGAAACCCGAGUAGUCC
This 469-nucleotide ribosomal RNA is filed under the name uncultured bacterium. RNAcentral's name for it is "bacterial SSU rRNA". It matches the Rfam family "Bacterial small subunit ribosomal RNA", at positions 335 to 796 of the family's 1533-position model. The record is from RNAcentral.